This 2002-nucleotide long non-coding RNA is filed under the name Naja naja (Indian cobra). RNAcentral describes it as "lncRNA (ENSNNAG00000015421.1)". The record is from RNAcentral. Lineage: Eukaryota; Metazoa; Chordata; Lepidosauria; Squamata; Elapidae.
GAUGAGGCUAGUUUUUCACACCACCCACUGUAGGGAAAGCCUGUUCUGAAGAUUACAACUUUCCUGGAGGUGAAGAAGGGGGUUGGACUGGAAGACCUCCGAGGCCUCUUCCAAUCCUAAUGGAAGUGGGAGGCCCUGUUGAGAAAAACUAACCAUGAUUGGAACCUAGCCUCGCCCCAAGCGGGGAAACCUGGGAUUUCUUCAGCUCCACUGGCCAAAAAACACCCCACGGAAAGUCCCUGGUGGGAAAGAGCAGGAAUUUUGGUGAGUCUGACAAAAGCGUGGUUAAUUGAAAUCUGUUUAAGUUUCUAGUCCUCUGCGAGUUUCCCUGGAAUGAAACCUCUGCUGAAUCCAAUGGGCCUUUAAGAGAGGAUCUCACUCCCCAGCAGGUAAGUCCAGAAUUGCUGAAGCAAUUUGGACAUUUGGGGUUAGUCCUCGACUUAACGACCGCAAGCGAGCCCAGCGUUUCCGUGGCAAAGCGAGACGUUUGUUGAAGUGAGUUUUUGACCCCCAUUGGGCGAUCGUUCCUGGCCACCGUCGUUAAGUGAGUGGCCGCAACUGUUCAGUGAGUCAUACGGUCGUUAAGCGAAGCCGGCUUCCCGAUGUUCACUUUGCCCGUCAGAAGGUUGCAAAAAAUGGGAACCAGGGGACUCCGGGCGACGCUGCGACCGUCCGCUGACAAGGGUCGGAAGGUGGGUCAGGUCAGGCCAGCCUGGGGAAACGGUCGUAAGUGUGAAAAGUGGUCACAAGUUGCUUUUUUUUCCCCCAGGGGGCGGCGUGGUAACUUGGAACGGUCACAAAGUGAACAGUUGUAAGUGGAGGACUCCCUGUGUGGGGGGAGGGGGGAAGCAAGCUGCCAAACCCACUUCCACAAGGCAAGACCCGGGAGAGGCCUUUGACUGCAAGGGACGCCCCCAAAAGGAAGAGCUGGGGGGGGGCAGAAAUGAAGCCACACACCCCUCCCCAUGCAAGGUUUGGUACCCCCAGGCAGCUGUUUCCCUUUCUUUCUUUCUUUCUUUCUUUCUUUUUCUUUCUUUCUUUCUUUCUUUCUCUUUCUUUCUUUCUUUCCUUCCUUUCUCUUCCUUCCUCUUUCUUCCUUCCUUUCCUCCUUCUUUCAUUCCUUCCUUUCUCCUCCUUCCUUCCUUUCCUUCCUUCUUUCUUUCUUUCCUUUCCUUUCCUUCCUUCUUUCUUUCUUUCUUUCCUUCCCUUCCUUCCUUCUUUCCUUCCUUCCUUCCCUUCCUUCCUUUCUUUCUUUCCUUUCUUUCUUUCCUUCUCUUUCUUUCUUUCCUUCCUUCCCUUCCUUCCUUCCUUCCUUCCUUCCUUCCUUCCCUUCCUUCCUUCCUUCCUUCCUUUCCCUGCUCCUGUGCCUUUCCAUACCCUGGUCUCUCCACCUGGGCAGAUCCACUCUCUACCUGGAGAUCCAUUCUCCAUCUGGGCAGAUUCACUCUCCACCUGGAGAUCCAUUCUGCACCUGGAGAUCCAUUCUCCACCUGGAGAGGUCUAUUCUGCACCUAGAGAGAUCCAUUCUGCACCUGGAGAGAUCCAUUCUCCACCUGGGCAGAUCUACUCUCCAACUGGAGAGAUCCAUUCUCCACCUGGAGAUCCAUUCUCUACUUGGAGAUCCCUUCUCCACUUGAAGAGAUCCAUUCUGCACCUGGAGAGAUCCAUUCUCUACCUGGAGAGAUCUGUUCUCCACCUGGGCAGAUCCAUUCUCCACUUGGAGAUCCAUUCAACUACCGGUGGGGGCGGGGUGGAGAAGAGAGAGGAUCUAUUAUUCUCUCCGGAUCCCCGGCUUCCCGGCGGCUCUUCGCCGCCCCGCCCAGCCGCGAAGGAAAUAAAAAAUAAAAAGGCCGGGCCGGACGCCGAGACAGGUGCGCUCCGGAGCCGCCUCCCCGCCGGGCGGGGUCCUCCGCGCAAACCUGCGCUGGGCUCACCCUGCGCGCUUCCGGGGCUUGUACGCUCGCUGCCCACCCGGGCCCAAAGGGAGGCAGCUGUGGAAUGA